AUUGAACGCUGGCGGAAUGCUUUACACAUGCAAGUCGAACGGCAGCACGGGGGCAACCCUGGUGGCGAGUGGCGAACGGGUGAGUAAUACAUCGGAACGUGCCCGGUCGCGGGGGCUAACGUAGCGAAAGAUACGAAAAUACCGCAUACGAUCUGAGGAUGAACGGGGGGGACCAUCGGGCCUUGCGAGAUCGGACGGGCCGAUGUCCGAUUAGGUAGUUGGUGGGGUAAAGGCCUACCAAGCCGACGAUCUGUAGCUGGUCUGAGAGGACGACCAGCCACACUGGAACUGAGACACGGCCCAGACUCCUACGGGAGGCAGCAGUGGGGAAUAUUGGACAAUGGGCGCAAGCCUGAUCCAGCCAUUCCGCGUGCGUGACGAAGGCCUUCGGGUUGUAAAGUGCUUUUGUAUGGAACGAAAAGGCUCUGGCUAAUACCUGGGGCUCAUGACGGUACCGAAAGAAUAAGCACCGGCUAACUUCGUG
RNAcentral lists this ribosomal RNA (484 nucleotides) under uncultured bacterium. RNAcentral's name for it is "partial 16S ribosomal RNA". It matches the Rfam family "Bacterial small subunit ribosomal RNA", at positions 29 to 507 of the family's 1533-position model. The record is from RNAcentral.